UGGGGAAUAUUGGACAAUGGGCGAAAGCCUGAUCCAGCCAUGCCGCGUGUGUGAAGAAGGUCUUCGGAUUGUAAAGCACUUUAAGUUGGGAGGAAGGGCAGUAAGUAAUACCUUGCUGUUUUGACGUUACCGACAGAAUAAGCACCGGCUAACUCUGUGCCAGCAGCCGCGGUAAUACAGAGGGUGCAAGCGUUAAUCGGAAUUACUGGGCGUAAAGCGCGCGUAGGUGGUUUGUUAAGUUGGAUGUGAAAGCCCCGGGCUCAACCUGGGAACUGCAUCCAAAACUGGCAAGCUAGAGUACGGUAGAGGGUGGUGGAAUUUCCUGUGUAGCGGUGAAAUGCGUAGAUAUAGGAAGGAACACCAGUGGCGAAGGCGACCACCUGGACUGAUACUGACACUGAGGUGCGAAAGCGUGGGGAGCAAACA
RNAcentral lists this ribosomal RNA (426 nucleotides) under uncultured bacterium. RNAcentral describes it as "partial 16S ribosomal RNA". It matches the Rfam family "Bacterial small subunit ribosomal RNA", at positions 355 to 774 of the family's 1533-position model. The record is from RNAcentral.